UAGGAUGAGGUGAAGUUGUUCCUCCAGAAUUUCAGCCAAAAUGCACGCGCGCUGACCGACAAGGAGACCAAGGCUUUCCUCAAAGCUGCUGACACUGACGGUGAUGGCAAGAUUGGCUCUGCUGAGUUCACUGCCGUGGCUAAGAAAUGAAAUGCAACUGACCACCAACUACUCUGAUGGAACAACAAGCCCACUUCGACCUCCCCCUUCAA
Thalassophryne amazonica is the source of this 212-nucleotide long non-coding RNA. RefSeq lists it as uncharacterized. The transcript has 4 exons. The record is from RefSeq and is a predicted model, not a curated record. NCBI's taxonomy places the organism in Eukaryota, Metazoa, Chordata, Actinopteri, Batrachoidiformes, Batrachoididae.